UGCCAGGUGUUUUUCUGGGUAAUAUGGAGAUUUGAAGAGGUAGAGGGCACAGUCUCAGCCCUGGAGAAAUUCACAGCAUAGUGGAAGAGGAAUGACAGGAACCCAAAAGAUAAAUAACAAUUGGAGCAUGCAUGUGCUGCUAUGUGAUAAAUGGCAACAGCAUGGGUCAAUAAUAUUAUUACGAGGUUCACAUACAUAUCUCUUAAUAAUAUGACAGGCAUCCCCCUUCCUUAGGAUAUGUUAUCACUGGGGGAGAACAGGGAAGGUAGGAACUUAAUUGCUCAGAGUAAUUUGGAUGUUUGCACAUAAAUGCAUAAUGAUAUUAUUGAUCCUGGAUGCAAACUAUCAGCAGAAGCAGUUGUGAAACCUGAUGGGAGUUUGCACCUGGCAGCCUGGUUUCUCUAUUCAUCAAGAAGCCAUGGAAAGAACCCAAAAGUACCUAGAGCUCUCAGGAUGUGGCAGUGACCUGAGGUGCUUACCAAAUAGAAUUAACAGGGCUAGAAGAUCAAGAAAGUUUGAGUGACAGUAUAUAGCAGCAUCAAAUAGGAAGGAGAUUGCUCCUUUUAUCUCUAGCCAUCAAAGUGCUUCACAAAUCAAUAUGAGAAGCUGCACUUUAUAAGUUACACCAUCAUGGGAGAUUGUGAAUCAGCAUGAAGCAAAGGAAAAAAGGAAAUCUAGUCAUUGUUAAAUUCGAGAGCUAUUAUUUGGCCCCCAAAUAAUUGUCCACAUUAAAACAUUGAAUAUUCUGUUUAUUUACCACGGUCAUAAGAACGAUGUCAGGUUUCUUAAAAGUUUUGAUUAAAGUGGGUUUUUUUUAAAGUUUUGAUUAAAAUGUUUUUAAAACAGUGAAAAUAACAACAUUUCCCAGAAAAGAAUGAGUUUCUUCCUAUUAGCUGUUGAAUUGUUUGCUCCCAUAACUGAAUAGUAACAGCACAUCAAAGCCGCCAGAGGUAAUUAAAUGAUUUGUGAACAUAGGUUAACAAAUUAGUGCAUCAUGAUGUGUAAUUGUGUAAUUAGGAUAAAAAUGCUAGUCUUACCUAAAAGAUUGACAAGAUAGUAAAACAAGAAGGAACAGGUAAAAAGCAUCACGCAAAAUAUUAGAAUGUAUAUGUUAGUGUCAUUUUUCUGCUUAAGACUUGAGAGGGGCUAUGAGUGUCUUCUAGAUCUUACACAUCCAAGUUAUACACACUGGUUCAACUACAUUCAGUUAAGAGAAGAACAAAAACUCAAAUAACCAUGGAUUCUUUAUGUUUUCAGGGUGAAUGGGGAGUUGUCCACAUGACCUCAAAUAACUGAACUGCUGGUAGUUUUCAACCACCAGCAUCCCAGGCCUGUGAAAGCACCUAAUAGAAAGUUUCUUUGAAUUCCCCUUUAGCUCAUGUAGGAACUAGAUUUAAAAAGAAAAAAAAACCUCAGGAAAUAAGGAGUAUUCAUCUAUAAUUCUUAUUAAGCAUUUUCUACUUAUCAUCCAUUGAUUCAAUACAUAUUUACAAGACACCUACCUUAUGCCACACAAAGCACUAGAUUUUUUGAGGGACGUGAAGAGGCAUAAAACAUAGAUCUUCUCUCGAAGCGUUUUCAUUUUAAUUAGAGAAAUAAAGGUUAUAAGGCUAUAAACAUUAGGUGGUAGAGACAAAGUGCUGUAGGAUUUGAAGAGAGGGACUGAUAACUUCCGCCUAGGGAAAUCAUUUGCCAUGUCAAGGUCUUGGUCUUGACUGAUGGGUCGUGAUGGGGGUGAAAGGCUUUGCAGACAGAGAAAAUGGCCUGUACAAAGGCACAUAUAAUUUAUUAUUUAUUCUGCCACCAGUUGGGACUUUUAAUCCUAAUUAGAUCCCAGAAAAAUAGCCAAUUCUGUGUUUAUUUCUAUUGGCAAUGGAAGCAUCAGACAGCUGAAAAAAUUUGCUCUCACAACAGCCAGUAAGUUAGUGACACAGCAGGGGUUCAGAGGCGCCAGAAUCCUUUUAAUCUUCAGUGAUAAUUUAAACAACUGAGCCCCCCAAUUAUAUACAAAUCUUGUAUUCGAAUGGAUUUGGAAAAGUAGCCCCGUGAAAUGCAUAUAACAUUCUUUCAAGUCUCCAAGCAACGCUUGCGAUAUUGUAGGACACUUUUGGUCCCAGUUAAUAGCUCUUGGGAACAGGGAAGGUGCUCCCUUACCCCUUCGUUGGUUCCCACACCGCUAAUAUCCUCCCUGAAGCCUUGGGAAACAGCUUCAAAUGGCUGGCUAAACACAAAGUGAGGAUGUGUUGAAGGAAGUUUCCUACUUUCUCUAUUAGUUGCAAGAAUUGCCAACAAUUGUUGGGACAUGUGUAUGUAAAUGUUAUAGCAAAGAUCAAACUCUGGUUAUUAAUCCAAGUCACGGCAAACAGGAAGAAACUAUUAGCAAAGAGGAGAGAUUUCUUUUCAGGCUUUUGCUCUGAAGGCUAAAAUUUGUUUAAUUAAAUGAGACCUUCUGCCCAUUACUGACACUAGGACCUUUCACUUCAUACCAGGGACCCCACGGCAAGUGAGCCGUUAACACUCAGUCUCAAAGCCUACACCUACCAUCAUUUCAGCUACCUUGUUUAGUCAUUCACACCUUGCCUUCUGGCCACUGUUGUUCAUCUCUUCAGCCUGAUAUCAUUAGCCAGUUUUCUUUUUAACUUUUACAUUAAAAAAUAUGUAGGCACAGGGACUGGCCCCGCGGCUGAGUGGUUAAGUUUGCGUGCUCUGCUUCGGCAGCCCAGGGGUUCGUCAGUUGAGAUCCUGGAAGCAGACAUGGCACUGCUCAUUAAGCCACUCUGAGGCAGCAUCCCACAUGCCACAACUAGAAGGACCCAAAACUAAAAAUUCACAACUAUGUACCAGGGGGCUUUGGAG
Molecule: long non-coding RNA, 2856 nt
Filed under: Equus caballus (horse)
Lineage: Eukaryota; Metazoa; Chordata; Mammalia; Perissodactyla; Equidae
Description: lncRNA (ENSECAG00000057643.1)
Source: RNAcentral